GUGCCAGCAGCCGCGGUAAUACGGAGGGUGCAAGCGUUACUCGGAAUCACUGGGCGUAAAGCGCGCGCAGGCGGCUUAAUAAGUUGGAUGUGAAAUCCUAUGGCUCAACCAUAGAACUGCAUCCAAAGCUGUUAAGCUAGAGUCUGGGAGAGGAAGAUGGAAUUAGUUGUGUAGGGGUAAAAUCCGUAGAGAUAACUAGGAAUACCAAGAGCGAAGGCGAAUCUUACUGGAACAGUACUGACGCUGAGGCGCGAAAGCGUGGGGAAGCGAAACAGGAUUAGGAUACCCUGGUAGUCCACGCCCUAAACGAUGAAUGUUAGUCGUUGGAGCUCUAGUAGCUUCAGUGAUGCAGCUAACGCAUUAAACAUUCCGCCUGGGGAUACGGUCGCAAGNUUAAAACUCAAAGGAAUUGGCGG
This 416-nucleotide ribosomal RNA is filed under the name uncultured bacterium. RNAcentral's name for it is "bacterial SSU rRNA". It matches the Rfam family "Bacterial small subunit ribosomal RNA", at positions 505 to 916 of the family's 1533-position model. The record is from RNAcentral.